Non-coding RNA from Pogona vitticeps (central bearded dragon), 757 nucleotides. The record is from RefSeq and is a predicted model, not a curated record. Lineage: Eukaryota; Metazoa; Chordata; Lepidosauria; Squamata; Agamidae.
UUAUUUUCAUUUCCCUUCUCCUGUGGAGGGGGCCGAGUGGAUAAAGUGGCGGUGGAUGGGUGGGGGAAACGAACUCCACUGCUCUGCGGGAAAAGAACUGUGCGGAGGAGGUGGAGCCGGGGAACAGGAAAUGGUGGCGGCGCCAUUUUGAGUGUGGCUGAGGGGGGACAUCUCCGGGAGGACGCUUCCGGUCCAGCGACGGAACGUCCGCUUCCUCCGGAACUGCACGGAAGGAAAUCGAUGUGGAACGAACUGGAUGGGAUUUCAAUAUGGCGUUGGGGACCCGAAGCGCGCUUUCUGUGGGAGUUCCAAGUUCAGCCGAAAAGUGCAGUUUGUGGCUAGUCUUGAUGAGCUGUCUGAGUGGAUCCCCGUGGAGCAGGUGCACAUCCCGGAUUGUGUCUGCCAGCAUGGGAAGUGCAUCAAAUGCUGAACACGCCCCAGGAGUAAAACGCGAAAUAAAUGCAUCAAAACUUGGGUGUGUUUGCAUCCGUGUGAGUCCUGUUAACUUGGCGCUUUGUUUGUUACGAUGACAUUAAAGAGAGAGAGAAAAAAACAAAUCGAAACGGGAGUCUUUUUGUGCAAGUCGUUUAUUUUACCAUCUUUAGUCGACAGUGGAAAACAGACAGGGCCGGGGCAGGGGGGGGUAGGGGGGGGAAAGCAGCAGGAAAGCGGCCUCUUUCCCAGGAGUAAGGAACUCUGCCCAUGCUCAGAGGCGCCGUCCGGCGGGAGGCACCCCUGGCAGCAAGGCAGGGGCGUC